Molecule: ribosomal RNA, 491 nt
Filed under: uncultured bacterium
Lineage: Bacteria
Description: partial 16S ribosomal RNA
Rfam family: Bacterial small subunit ribosomal RNA
Source: RNAcentral
GAUGAACGCUGUCUACAGGCUUAACACAUGCAAGUCGAGGGGAAACGACGGGGAAGCUUGCUUCCCCGGGCGUCGACCGGCGCACGGGUGAGUAACGCGUAUCCAACCUGCCUCUGACUGAGGGAUAACCCGUCGAAAGUCGGCCUAAUACCUCAUGGCAUCGUCUGCGGGCAUCCAACGACGAUUAAAGAUUUCAUCGGUCAGGGAUGGGGAUGCGUCUGAUUAGCUUGUUGGCGGGGUAACGGCCCACCAAGGCUACGAUCAGUAGGGGUUCUGAGAGGAAGGUCCCCCACAUUGGAACUGAGACACGGUCCAAACUCCUACGGGAGGCAGCAGUGAGGAAUAUUGGUCAAUGGGCGGGAGCCUGAACCAGCCAAGUAGCGUGCAGGAUGACGGCCCUAUGGGUUGUAAACUGCUUUUAUGCGGGGAUAAAGUGAGGGACGUGUCCUUCAUUGCAGGUACCGCAUGAAUAAGAACCGGCUAAUUCCGUG